UACGAAGGCUCCAAGCGUUAUCCGGAUUUAUUGGGUUUAAAGGGUGCGUAGGCGGACUAUUACGUCAGUGGUGAAAGCCUGCAGCUUAACUGCAGAACUGCCAUUGAUACUGAUGGUCUUGAGUACACUUGAGGUGGGCGGAAUGUGCCAUGUAGCGGUGAAAUGCUUAGAUAUGACACAGAACACCGAUUGCGAAGGCAGCUCACUAAAGUGUAACUGACGCUGAGGCACGAAAGCGUGGGGAUCAAACAGG
RNAcentral lists this ribosomal RNA (253 nucleotides) under uncultured bacterium. Its description in RNAcentral is "partial 16S ribosomal RNA". It matches the Rfam family "Bacterial small subunit ribosomal RNA", at positions 524 to 776 of the family's 1533-position model. The record is from RNAcentral.